Molecule: ribosomal RNA, 630 nt
Filed under: uncultured archaeon
Lineage: Archaea
Description: bacterial SSU rRNA
Rfam family: Archaeal small subunit ribosomal RNA
Source: RNAcentral
CGAAAGGGGCUCUGCCCGCCCGAGGAUGGGCCGGCGGCCGAUUAGGUAGUUGGUGGGGUAACGGCCCACCAAGCCCAUAAUCGGUACGGGCAGUGAGAGCUGGAGCCCGGAGAUGGACACUGAGACACGGGUCCAGGCCCUACGGGGCGCAGCAGGCGCGAAACCUCCGCAAUGCUNGAAAGAGCGACGGGGGGACCCCAAGUGCCGUGGUACAACCACGGCUUUUCCGGAGUGUAAGAAGCUCCGGGAAUAAGGGCUGGGCAAGGCCGGUGGCAGCCGCCGCGGUAAUACCGGCGGCCCGAGUGGUGGCCACUAUUAUUGGGCCUAAAGCGUCCGUAGCCGGGCUUGUAAGUCCCUGGCGAAAUCCCACGGCUCAACCGUGGGGCUUGCUGGGGAUACUGCAAGCCUUGGGACCGGGAGAGGCCGGGGGUACUCCUGGGGUAGGGGUGAAAUCCUAUAAUCCCAGGAGGACCGCCAGUGGCGAAGGCGCCCGGCUGGAACGGGUCCGACGGUGAGGGACGAAGGCCAGGGGAGCAAACCGGAUUAGAUACCCGGGUAGUCCUGGCUGUAAAGGAUGCGGGCUAGGUGUUGCUUGGACCUCGAGUCCAAGCAGUGCCGCAGGGAAGCCGU